UAAAAUCGUGACAUGUGACGGUCA
This 24-nucleotide microRNA is filed under the name Glycine max (soybean). RNAcentral describes it as "gma-miR4372a". The record is from miRBase by way of RNAcentral. Lineage: Eukaryota; Viridiplantae; Streptophyta; Magnoliopsida; Fabales; Fabaceae.